AUGUGCUGGAGCGCGGGCACAGAAUGGUGGCUUGCCGCGGCAAGCACCUUGCCGCGAUCGUUGUCUUGUCGCGUCCGGGAGCUUGUCGCUCACCGGGCCUUGCCGGGACGCGAGGCGCGCCGCGGCAAGUUCCUUGAGGCGCCUUGGUUGGCCUUCCCGGCAAGCUCCUCUUGCCGGGGUCUUGUCUCCUUGAACGCCUUGCCUUGGUUGGCCUUCCUGGCAAGCUCCUCUUGCCGGGGUCUUGUGGUGUCUUGGUUGGAUACUUUGUUCUUGAAUGGCUCCAAAGGAACCACGGAGGACCUUGGCGGUCACCCGGCAAGCCUUGCCGCGGGAUGCUGCGACUGCCCGUGCACAAGUUCGGAAUACUAG
Molecule: ribosomal RNA, 369 nt
Filed under: Triticum aestivum (bread wheat)
Lineage: Eukaryota; Viridiplantae; Streptophyta; Magnoliopsida; Poales; Poaceae
Description: partial small subunit ribosomal RNA
Source: RNAcentral